AUCCGGAUCCGGCCUGAACCCACGCCCUCCACGCUCCACUUUCCUUCUUUACUUCCGCCACCACGCCACGCCUGCUCGCCGAAGCCGUGUCCGGCACCGCCUCUGCCCCGGCUGGCGCCACCGCCUCUGCCCCGGCUAUAAAGCCGCGCCCUUUGGCCAGCCCGCUCCUCCUCCUCCCCUCUUCGUCCGGGCCGCGCCUCUCGCGUCCUCGCCGCGCUCUGCCCGGUCCGCUCCUCCUCAUCUCUUCUCCCGGGCCGCGCCUCUCGCCUCCUCGCCGCGCUCUGGCCGGUCCGCGCCUCCUCCACUCUUCGUCCGGGCCGAGCCUUUCUCCUCCUCGCCGCGCUCUGGCAGGUCUGUUGCUCCUCCACUCUUCGUCCGCGCCGUGUCGUUCCCCUCCUCGCCGCGCUCUGCCCGGUUUGCUCCUCAUCCUCCUCCUCCUCCUCUCUUCAUUCGGGUCGUGCCUCUGUCCUCCUCAAGUCGCAUUUCAUCUUGCCCGUCCUCGCUCGGUCGAUUCGUCCGUUUAGAACCGCGUCUGGAUUUGGUUUUGCUCGUCCUCGUCGUCGCCGGUUUAGAUAGAGAGUCCCGCCUGAUUUGAUUUUGCUCGUUCUCUCCGCCGUUCGUUCGUGUAGAGUCGCGUCUGAUUUGGUUCUGCUCGUGCUCGAUUCGUCGGUUUAGAAUCGCUUCCGAGUUGAUUUUGCUCGUCGCCGCCGUUCAUCAGUUCAGAGUCGCUUCUUCUGAUUUGGUUCUGCUCGUCCUCGCCAUCGUCCGUUUUUCCUCCCUCUCGCCGUCGCCCCGAUGCGCUCGCGUGUUCUUGGUUCGUCUCGUCGAGGGUCUACGUCUGGUUUGCGAUUGAGAAAUUUCUGCGUGCGCUUGCGUUUCGUGUUCGGUGUCAGCGCGAGUGUUACAGGAACGGUCGGGUCUUGGUUUUGAAAUUGGGUUACGGCCGGAAAUGGGGAGACAGAGAGGUUUGUCGUGCUAGUUCAACUGGGUUCCUAGGCUCCGUCACCUCGUCGGUUGUUUUCAGAUCUCAACGACUAGCUUGUACGUGUUCGUGUUCGUCCGUCAGAGACAUGCCCUUUGAUACUCUGGUUCCUUUGUCGAUUCUGAUUGUACUAGCUUGGUUCGCCCACCGUCGUGCUAGCUUGUUUCACUUUCUGCAGGCGUGUGUGCUCUCAUCCUUGAUGCAGGGGUGAUUAGUUACGGUUGUUCUGAUGGGUGUUACUGCUUGUUUCUGUUCUUUUCAACUGGUUAUUACUGUACUUUCUAUCAUGCUUUGCUUGUGUUCCCAUAGAUGAUGAUGUGUGUUCAGGGGUGCAAAUCAUGUAGGCCGUGGGUGCCAUUUCUUGCAGGCAGGUAGAGCAGAGUGCCUGACUAAUUGAACACCUGCUGCUGCUACUGUUGGACAAGGUUUCCUCCCAUUGUUAUUUCCAUUUUCAUACGAGUACUAGAUGAGGUGCUGCUAGUUAGUCCCCCCUACACUUCGUUCUAGAUUGCAUAGCAUAACUCCAGAAUUAUUUCAUUGACACCUGGGCAUAUAAUUCUAUUGUGAGCGGAAUUUAUUUAUUUGUGAAAGCACGUUCAUCACAUAUUUUUUAUCAAUGCUGCUCACUUUUGCCACGCCCCUUUUGCUUGUCCUGUUAAAUUUUAUGGCAUCAACUUGGAGCAAAUUUUGUACUCACUGGUUAAAAUAUCGAGAAUGCUGACUUCUGUAUUAGUCGCUAUGUAUGCCAUGCCAUGCACUUCGGAAGCCUGUGCGUGAUUAGGAUUUGGAUUGCAUAUAGAUUUUAUGCUAUGUUUGUUUAUAACCUGGUUGUGACCUAAUAUAGUGUAAAUCUGCUAAUUUUUUUAUUUAAUCUAUGUUCAAUGCAAGUAGGUUUUGUUCGUAAGUGGUAUUUAUUUUGUGUGUGUAUGAACAUUGAUGCCGUCAAUUUUUCUUAUCAUAAUCAUUUACCAUGGUGUUCGACAAUACAUUUCUACGGUUCUUUAUUCCCUUUUGAGGUUAUGAUCACUUAUGUGUUAGUAUAUACUAGCUAUGAUGUGUUUUAUUCAAGUUAUUAACCACAUCUCUUAUAGAUUUGCCUUGAGUUUAUAUGACACUGUCCGUUUCUUUGUGUGUUUCUUGUGUGCAAGCGCUCCAUUGUGUGUGUCUGACUGUGUGUGUGAUGUGCCCCUAUCUAUGUAUGUUUCUUUGUCCAUUUCAUAUGUGCAAGGCGCUCCAUUGUUUGUGUGUGACUGUGUGUUUGACUGCUUAGAUGGGUGAUUAUGAUUGUGUUACUGCUUAUAUGGUCUGUCCAAUUGGUUUCUUCUUCAUGCUUUGCUUGUGUUCCAAUGAUGUCUCCUCAUAUAUGGGGAUGUGUUCAGGGAUGCAAACCAUGUAGGCCGUUUCGAGCAGGCAGGGAUCGAGAGACGUGCACUGGUCAGGCUUCUCUCCUGCUGAUAGAUGAUGAUAGGCUGAGCAGAAAUGUUUGACUCUUGUAACACUCACUUGCUUGGCUUCCACUCCUUUGCGUGGCCGAUUUGGCAUCCAAUGCAUUCCAUGCCUAUCUUAUUUAUCUCACUCACUCAUCAUAGCACCAUUUUCCCUUUUUGUUCCUUAUUUUUUGUAUCAUAAUAAUCAUGUUUACCGUGGUGUUUGGCAAUACAUUUUUUUUGUGAUAUGUUUCGUUAUGUCUUAUGUGGAUAUCAUAUUCUUUUUUUUGUAUUACUGAUGUCCAGUCACUGGAAUAAGCUUUUCUAAGUAUUUCAGGUAGGACAUAGACAUGUCACAUUUGCUCUUCCUUGUGUUGCUACGGACACUGGUGGGUUGGGUUUGCUUGCAGCGAGGACAGAUAAUUCUAUUGGAAUAUUUCUUUGAGAAAGAAGUUAGAUGUCUAUGGCACCAGAAAUAUUUUGGCAAUUCCAAGACUAAUUGGUCAUGAUGACUUCAAGCAUAAAUAGAAGACAGCUGAUUCUGAGGGCCAUCUUGAUCUGAACAGCUCAUUAUUCUAAUUUUAGCUCACCUCUACAGUCAUAAAACUGUGGGCUCUUUAGGUUCAUCUUGUGACACAAAAUACAAUAGUGGUACAUGCAGAAUUUGAAAUUUGGUGAUAAAGAAAAGCUGAAUUAUUUCCGGGCAGGACAGAGAUGCAGUGUUUACAUCCAUGGCAGAAGGUUUUUUAACAGUGCAUCAAAGGUCCUUGGACUCAAGAGGAAGAUGACAAAAUUAUUGACCUUGUAAACAACUAUGGACCACCAGAAUGAUCUCAUUGCAAGGUCAGCUACCAGAACUUCUUGCUGCUGAUCCUGGGAUGUUUCCGAACAUGCUCCCAAACAUGUUCAAUUUAUCCGCCCUAGGACAGCCACUGCCAUGACACAGUAGGCUACUCGGCAUGCUCGGCGUGUUUACCUCGGUGGACUUCCUCCAAUCGCUAAUGAACAUACGGUUGCUCUAUUCUUCAAUCAAGUUAUGGCCGCUAUUGGGGAAGACACAUUUGAUCCAGGUGAUGCAGUUCUUAAUAUGAAGCUGAUUUUUGAAUUCAUACAAAACAUCUUAGGUGGCAUAAUCAUCUAACUCUGUGUGUGUGACUGACUGACUGUGUGUGUCUGUGGCUGUGUAUGUUUUGUGUGUGUGACUAACUGUGUGUGUUCUAUGUCUUGUGUGUGUGACUGACUGUUAC
Long non-coding RNA from Triticum urartu, 3656 nucleotides. RefSeq lists it as uncharacterized. The record is from RefSeq and is a predicted model, not a curated record. NCBI's taxonomy places the organism in Eukaryota, Viridiplantae, Streptophyta, Magnoliopsida, Poales, Poaceae.